CGAGCCGGCACCUCGUACGGGGCCCGUCCGCGCCGCUCCGGCGGCCGUGAUGCAAGGGCCCGCGAUGACCCGACCGGGACGAGGAGACGCGCAUG
The submitters of this non-coding RNA (95 nucleotides) gave its source as unclassified sequences. The record is from Rfam.